GCCUCGGUAGCUCAGUUGGUAGAGCAGCGGACUGAAAAUCCGCGUGUCGGUGGUUCGACUCCGCCCCGAGGCACCA
This 76-nucleotide transfer RNA is filed under the name Acidobacteriota bacterium. RNAcentral's name for it is "tRNA-Phe". It matches the Rfam family "tRNA". Rfam says of the family: Transfer RNA (tRNA) molecules are approximately 80 nucleotides in length. Their secondary structure includes four short double-helical elements and three loops (D, anti-codon, and T loops). The record is from RNAcentral. Lineage: Bacteria; Pseudomonadati; Acidobacteriota. RNAcentral also lists the same sequence under 1 other name.